Molecule: long non-coding RNA, 543 nt
Filed under: Homo sapiens (human)
Lineage: Eukaryota; Metazoa; Chordata; Mammalia; Primates; Hominidae
Description: HSALNT0393871
Source: RNAcentral
CUCCACAGUGCCCAUCAUUGAAAACAAGAAGAUCCCAGAAAGCAUCAUUAUUAACUCACCACAUUUAUGGAGACCUACACUGGAUCCUAGGUCAGAACCCCUGUGAAGCUGAAUCACCUUUACUCUCCUAGAGACAGCAAGAUUGUUCCCCUCCACUGUGAGAUGGCAUCCCUUCUUCUACGUUUCACCAUUUCUGUUCACCUCAAGAUUUCCCUCAUACCCUGUUUGGCAAUUUCUGGAGCUCCCAACAUGACCAGUGUGAGGAACGAAGCUCAAGCAGAAUACUGAUACACUAACAUAUCUACUCAAGGAGUCUUUCUAUAAAGAGAUGUAAAAGCAGUGGCAUUGCAAUCAACAUGUUAACAGCUACUUCAGAGAAGCCAUUAGUCCCUGAGUUGCGGAGACACUUCUACUUCUUCUGGCCAUUUAAGUGACCACACCAUCUUACUGAUAUCCCAAAGUUCCCAAAAAAUUAAGCUUGAUAUAAACUUGAAACCUGGUAGAUUUUGAGUUACUUCCUACAUUUUCUACGUGAAACUUUCA